Molecule: ribosomal RNA, 433 nt
Filed under: uncultured bacterium
Lineage: Bacteria
Description: partial 16S ribosomal RNA
Rfam family: Bacterial small subunit ribosomal RNA
Source: RNAcentral
AACGAACGCUGGCGGCAUGCCUAACACAUGCAAGUCGAACGAGACCUCCGGGCCUAGUGGCGCACGGGUGCGUAACGCGUGGGAACCUGCACUUAGGUUCGGAAUACCUCCCCGAAAGGGGUGCUAAUACCGGAUAAUGUCUUCGGACCAAAGAUCUAUCGCCUUUGGAUGGGCCCGCGUUGGAUUAGCUAGUUGGUAGGGUAAAAGCCUACCAAGGCGACGAUCCAUAGCUGGUCUGAGAGGAUGAUCAGCCGCACUGGGACUGAGACACGGCCCAGACUCGUACGGGAGGCAGCAGAGGGGAAUAUAGUACAAUGAGCGAAGGCCUGAUCCAGCAAUGCCGGGGGAGUGAGGAAGGCCUUAGGGUUGUAAAGCUCUUUGACCCGGGAUGAUAAUGACAGUACCGGGAGAAUAAGCACCGGCUAACUCCGUG